Molecule: long non-coding RNA, 347 nt
Organism: Leptopilina boulardi
Lineage: Eukaryota; Metazoa; Arthropoda; Insecta; Hymenoptera; Figitidae
Exons: 3
Source: RefSeq, a predicted model, not a curated record
UUUUACGGACCCGACCAUCGUCAGGGAGGCGGUUGGGGACUUCCCUAUUCUUCAGGGAUGGUGGAGAUCUGGCCGAGAUAAGUCUAUAUGGAAACUUCGUUCGCUCCCACCAGUGCCGCCCCAGGUUGGGUUUCAGCCUAUAAGCAAUGCCUUCGCCCUCUCUUUCCUCCAGUGCUUCUACUGGACCAGGGAGGGUCAAGCCAGGACUCGAGCUAGAUGGCAAUUGAAAAUCCGGGUUCCAGUAAGCAGGGUGUGGCAGGGAGUUGGUCAGGAGGGUUACCUGCUGAAGCCGUUCAUGUAGGCUGUCUCCCCCCAGGCCAGAAGACACGUCCUCCCUCCCUUUUCGC